RNAcentral lists this ribosomal RNA (293 nucleotides) under uncultured bacterium. RNAcentral's name for it is "partial 16S ribosomal RNA". It matches the Rfam family "Archaeal small subunit ribosomal RNA", at positions 455 to 747 of the family's 1478-position model. The record is from RNAcentral.
GUGCCAGCAGCCGCGGUAAUACCGGCAGCCAGAGUGAUGGCCUAUCUUAUUGGGCCUAAAGCGUCCGUAGCUGGCUGCGCAAGUCCGUCGGGAAAUCCACUCGCUCAACGAGUGGGCGUCCGACGGAAACUGCACAGCUUGGGCCCGGAAGGCUCGAAGGGUACGUUCGGGGUAGGAGUGAAAUCCCAUAAUCCCGCACGGACCACCGAUGGCGAAAGCACUUCGAGAAAACGGAUCCGACAGUGAGGGACGAAAGCCAGGGUCUCCAACCGGAUUAGUAACCCUGGCAGUCC